GCACAAGCGGUGGAUGAUGUGGUUUAAUUCGAUGCAACGCGAAAACCUUACCCACCUUUGACAUGUACGGAAUCCUUUAGAGAUAGAGGAGUGCUCGAAAGAGAGCCGUAACACAGGUGCUGCAUGGCUGUCGUCAGCUCGUGUCGUGAGAUGUUGGGUUAAGUCCCGCAACGAGCGCAACCCUUGUCAUUAGUUGCUACGAAAGGGCACUCUAAUGAGACUGCCGGUGACAAACCGGAGGAAGGUGGGGACGACGUCAAGUCCUCAUGGCCCUUAUAGGUGGGGCUACACACGUCAUACAAUGGCUGGUACAAAGGGUUGCCAACCCGCGAGGGGGAGCCAAUCCCAUAAAGCCAGUCGUAGUCCGGAUCGCAGUCUGCAACUCGACUGCGUGAAGUCGGAAUCGCUAGUAAUCGUGGAUCAGCAUGUCACGGUGAAUACGUUCCCGGGUCUU
This 454-nucleotide ribosomal RNA is filed under the name uncultured Comamonas sp. RNAcentral describes it as "bacterial SSU rRNA". It matches the Rfam family "Bacterial small subunit ribosomal RNA", at positions 923 to 1382 of the family's 1533-position model. The record is from RNAcentral. Lineage: Bacteria; Pseudomonadati; Pseudomonadota; Betaproteobacteria; Burkholderiales; Comamonadaceae.